Long non-coding RNA from Oncorhynchus tshawytscha (Chinook salmon), 334 nucleotides. The record is from Ensembl. Lineage: Eukaryota; Metazoa; Chordata; Actinopteri; Salmoniformes; Salmonidae.
GGCUUUUUACGCACAGCAGAAACGCGUGGAUUAAUACAAAUACUAAACUAGUUGGGGGAACAGAGAACGUGAAAAUGGACGAGAAGCCUCAAGUGGAGAGAUAUCAGAGAGAGAGAGAGAGAGAGAGAGAGAGAGAGAAUGGACCAGUCUGGAGAGGCUGAGAACAAUGCUGCUGCAGUGGCCACAACAUCAGGAGUGGGAACCAGUGUGUCCAGUGCGCGGGCUUGCUAUAGGUGAGCCCAUAACGGUUUGGUGUAACGUGGCCCAUCCUCUCCUGAAUCGGCCCCCAGGGACCUGUCCUGGAUAGUCGCCUACGAGAUCCUCCUGGUCAUGG